GGUAGAAAUGCAUUUCCUGCUUUUUUCACAUUUUGAAAACGUAAAUUUUCUCAUCCAAUGAAAACAGCCACGACCUACUCUGAGGCCGUUCCCCAGGUUUCGUCAUACUGGUUGAAAGUUCUCCCUGCAAAUCCUGAACCACCACCCCCACAAUGAUCCCGAACCAAAACUGGACUUCCGCCAUUUCCCCCCUCUCACUCACCGUGAACAGACAAGCACGGCAGCGCCCAAGUCCUCCCAUAGAAAUAGUUCAGUUCUUAGGUGUUCUAACCAACACCAAAGUCUCUUCACUUUACCAAGGGAUCAACAAGUGAGGAUUUGUGGGUCACUUUUAUUUUUAACGGACCGGUGCCAGAAACACUGCCUCAGCAUUUAUACGUAUGUGCAUUUCAAACGAGGGUGCGUACAAUGCUGGAUUUGUUUCACGGCUCCUGUUGGAAAAAAGGAUCUAUUCCUAAAGUCCGUCAUCCACUCACUGAAGAGGGCAAAUCCCAGUUCCCACAUGCAAGGAGGCUGUCAAACAGAGAAAUCACUGCAGACUGUUGGUACACGGACAUCUGCUGCCCAGCUCAAGAGUAAAGGUAUGUAAGUUUGUAUGUACCAACAGUAAGAUAGGUAAUAGAAGAUUUUAAUUGGUAUAUACUGUUUAGAUUUUAUAUUUGAAUUGUAACAACUGUUUAUCUGUUGUUUUAGCACAGACAGGCCUGUCCUCUUGUUUGGUUUAAUUUUUUGUCUGGUAUUGUGUGUUCUUACAUUAGAGAAGGUUUUGACCUACAUAAUAAUGAACAUUUCACUAAUCUACAAUUCUGAUUGCAGUACCUUUUGUUUUGAUGAGGUGAUGGCGAGGACAGCCACAGCUUCCAUCUGGUAGAGGACUGCUUCCGCUCAGUCUUCCAAAUAGUGAUGAGAACAAGGAUCACCACAUCUCCCUGUUUACCCUACUUUCAUGCAUUUCGUCUGCAAGGCCCUGCAAAAGCUUCUGACCUCAAACCCCCAGACCUCUUAAUUAACUCAGUAACCUAUACAUUGCACAUUGGAGUGUGAAGGUAACAGUUUGUUCUAGCUUUGGAGUAGUGGUGUAUUUUUUUGGUUUACAAUAAAGUUGGCUUUAACUAUUA
Molecule: long non-coding RNA, 1118 nt
Organism: Betta splendens (Siamese fighting fish)
Lineage: Eukaryota; Metazoa; Chordata; Actinopteri; Anabantiformes; Osphronemidae
Exons: 2
Source: RefSeq, a predicted model, not a curated record